CUGGAGAAGGAAAUGGCAACCCACUCCAGUGUUCUUGCCUGGAGAAUCCCAGGGACGGGGGAGCUUGGUGGGCUGCCGUCUAUGGGGUCGCACAGAGUCAGACACGACUGAAGCGACUUAGCAGCAGCAGCAGCAGCAGUGGACGCCAAGCACAGUACCCUGUACACAUGACCGUGUUAAAUCACAACAACCCAGUGAAGUGGUUCCACCGUCAUCCAUGGUUUUCAACCAAGGAAGCUGAGGCUCACAGAGAUCCAAAGCCUGGUAAGCAGGCAGAACUGGGAUUCAAACUCAGGCUGGUUUGAGGAUACAUCCUAAAUUUUCUUCACCGUUUCUCACUUUGUUGGAAUAUGCUGGGUUCCACAUGCCCCCUUCUUGUUCCAACCAGCACACCCUGGUUGGUAGGACACCUCACUAGAUCAGAUACAAGGGAAAGAUGGUCAAUGAGAAACAUUUUUGCCUCCUUAGGCUGUCCCCCCACCUGGAGACACCUAUCAGUGUCUCCAAAUAGGACUUGGAAGCUCAGUUGCCUAAGCUUGGGACUAAAAGCAGACUGUUGGAACCCUGUUAACCAUCUUGUGCCCCAAGACUCGUGUUAUUUGCAAGGUAUGCAUGGGGCCAUGGCCCUGCAUUCCUUUAACCAGUUUAACAAGACCACUGACCAUGAGAGCAGCCAUGUCACGGACUCUUUCCAGCGGCCCAGAACUCUUCCAUUCAACUUCUGGCCACAGGAUGGAGAGCUCCCCACCUCAUACUCAAAAAGACGUUCACCUUUCCCACCCUCCAAAUGGGAGGCUAUCCCACAUAUUUGAAGCUAAACUCCAACCACUUCCCAGCGACAACCUUGGGUAUAUUCAAAAGUUUGAGGGCAAAGAGGAUGCACAAGGAAACUGCCCUCUGACGAUUAAUGGAAACAAAAUAUCACUGCUUUUAUUAAAAUAAGAGUUGAAACCAAGUCCUGCACAGGGUUCACAUGAAAUAACAUUCUACCUUAGAAACAUCUUUCACCUUUACUAUAAACCUUUGUUUCCAAUUGCCAGCUCAAGUUGUCCCCUGAUUUGCUGAAAAUUCCAUGUCCCACGGAAUGCUGUGUAUCUUUGUCAUUUACUCUACCACCUGAAAUUUCACCUGGAGACCUGACUCUUCCCCUGGAAAGCCAGGUGUUCCCACAGGAUGUCACAGCUCUUCCUUAGUGCUUCGGCGGUCAGGAAGCAGCCCCCAUGCUGACCUCCUCCAUUCAAAUGGACUGAGUAUAUGGACAUUUGUAUUUAUUCCAUACCACAAAAAUAAUCAGAGUGAAAAAAGGUACUCACCAUUGGCUUGUGAUUGGGGAAAAAUGUUUGCUCCACAAGCGGGAACUUCUCAGGACCCAGCGAAUGGAAGAUCUUAAUGAGCUGAGAGAACUAGGACAGAAUGUGACAGAACAUUGGUCAACCACUGUUUCCUGGUAUGGCGAAACAUCCCACUUGAUCCCAGGCCUCAAGCACCUAUCUGCUCCAGUAGCUGCUCCCUGUCCCCAGGAUAAAGGCCAGAGUCCUUGACUGGACAUUCGUCCGCUCCAGUCUCCUCCAUCAUCCACCUUACUCCGCAGCCCUGGGAGCUCAUUCUGUGCCCAGCCCUGUGCUGGCCAGCACACACAGCUACAUAUACAUGGCAUGUAAACAUCCAUGUGUUGUUCAGGGGCAACGCACUACACAUGUGAGACCAGGUCUAGAGGAAAGACAGCCUGUGGGCAGAUGGCUGAGAUAACAACAUCUUGCUGGAGGGAAGUGAGGGGCUUGUGGGACCUGGAAGAGGAAUAGACAGGGGGUGAUGAUGACUUCAGGAGCAGAUGAUAUAAGAGAAGGAGGAAGGGCAUUCCAGUGUGCAGUGAGACAGCUGUGUGCUAGAGAUGCUCAGUGAACAAUGAGCUGGGAAUUCACCCAUCAGGCAAAGGGAGCUGUCGGUGAACAAAAGCAGAGAAGAGCAAGGUAGACUCUGAUCAGAAAGAAGAAAUCAGGUGCAGUGUAAGGCGGCCUAAUGUGGAUGCCUAGUGGCUGGAAAAGGAGCUAAGUCUUGUGCCAAACUGACUUUGGGGUAAACUCAAUACUGAGAGCUCACAAGAACAGAACAGAUAACUUAGGAACUCUCCGCAUCAUGCCAGGAUUGGAAGACUCUUGGGCUGUAGCCCGCUGCUGUGGUGCAACAUGCUGUCAGGCACUGUGGCAGACACACAAGUUACUGGGUCCUCACAAUUGUCCUGGGAUGUGGGUGCUGCUGCCGUCAAUUCCAUCUCACAGACGAGCACCCGGAGGCUUAAGAAGACCAGGUCACUUGCUCACAAAGACACACUACAGAUGGGAACACACGGCAAGUCAGAGAUGUUGUGAACUUCCUCAAAUCACAAAGCUGGGAAGCAGGAGAGCCACGUUUGAACACAGGUCAUCUCACUCCAAGUCCACAUGCUCUACCCUCCAUCACACGGCUCCAGGGAGAUUCACACAGUGCUUCAUUCACACUGCCAAGGAUCCACCUGUUUCCGGAUUCCUUACUUCUAAGUCCAGAGAAAAUCAAGACUCACAGUAGGUAGGUGGUUUAUACUU
Long non-coding RNA from Dama dama (fallow deer), 2582 nucleotides. RefSeq lists it as uncharacterized. The record is from RefSeq and is a predicted model, not a curated record. Lineage: Eukaryota; Metazoa; Chordata; Mammalia; Artiodactyla; Cervidae. The transcript has 3 exons.